UAGGGAAUCUUCCGCAAUGGGCGAAAGCCUGACGGAGCAACGCCGCGUGAGUGAUGAAGGUCUUCGGAUCGUAAAACUCUGUUGUUAGGGAAGAACAAAUGUGUAAGUACCUAUGCCCGCCUUGACGGUACUUAAUCAGAAAGCCACGCCUAACUACGUGCCAGCAGCCGCGGUAAUACGUAGGUGGCAAGCGUUAUCCGGAAUUAUUGGGCGUAAAGCGCGCGUAGGCGGUUUUUUAAGUCUGAUGUGAAAGCCCACGGCUCAACCGUGGAGGGUCAUUGGAAACUGGAAAACUUGAGUGCAGAAGAGGAAAGUGGAAUUCCAUGUGUAGCGGUGAAAUGCGCAGAGAUAUGGAGGAACACCAGUGGCGAAGGCGACUUUCUGGUCUGUAACUGACGCUGAUGUGCGAAAGCGUGGGGAUCAAACAGG
RNAcentral lists this ribosomal RNA (429 nucleotides) under Acidobacteriota bacterium. RNAcentral's name for it is "Acidobacteria bacterium partial 16S ribosomal RNA". It matches the Rfam family "Bacterial small subunit ribosomal RNA", at positions 355 to 776 of the family's 1533-position model. Lineage: Bacteria; Pseudomonadati; Acidobacteriota. The record is from RNAcentral.